GCCUUCGUGGUGUAACGGUAGCACACUCGGCGCGUAUUCGAGAGGUCCAGGUUCGAGUCCUGGCGAGGGCA
Molecule: non-coding RNA, 71 nt
Organism: Stegodyphus mimosarum
Lineage: Eukaryota; Metazoa; Arthropoda; Arachnida; Araneae; Eresidae
Source: Rfam